Molecule: ribosomal RNA, 115 nt
Filed under: Cordylochernes scorpioides
Lineage: Eukaryota; Metazoa; Arthropoda; Arachnida; Pseudoscorpiones; Chernetidae
Source: RNAcentral
ACGGCCAUACCACAUUGAAAACACCGGUUCUCGUCCGAUCACCCAAGUUAAGCAAUGUCGGGCCCGGUCAGUACUUGGGAGGGUGACCACCUGGGAACACCGGGUGCUGUAGGCU